RNAcentral lists this long non-coding RNA (1082 nucleotides) under Olea europaea (common olive). Its description in RNAcentral is "long non-coding RNA (OEUR_LNC013493)". The record is from RNAcentral. Lineage: Eukaryota; Viridiplantae; Streptophyta; Magnoliopsida; Lamiales; Oleaceae.
AUUAAGAAAAUUGAAUGAGGCAAGAUCUUACAGUACGUACCAGGUAGAAAAACAGCUGCAGAAUGAAAGCGCACUGAACAGUCAGGUAAGCAAGUGCUGACUUCCUUAAUUUUCCAGAAGUGUGGAUGUUCUGUGUGCGUGUGUUUAUACGUAUUUUAUUUUAUUUUUUCUAUACAAAAAUAUUUAAUUUAAUUUCUGCAUUUAUUAGAGCUGCUCGGGAUCAUGAAAAAGUGGUAUGGGCGGUGUAUGCGCCAUAUUUUAGAAGGGAAUAAAGGGUUUCCUAUAGGUUUAAGUGAGAUUUAUUUAAAUAAUAUAUAAAUCGACAUAAUUUCACCAAUCGGCAUCAUAAAUUAUUAGUAUUUGAUAUAGUUGUUUGUAAAUAGAAAUAAAAUAAGACCAAAAUGUAAAUUAUGAUGCUCUGAGAAAUCGAAUAUUAGUUUAAAUAGUAAAUUUAAAAUUUAUAUUCGAACUAUUUCAUAAGUUAAUAUUAAUACUAUCUGAAAUUUUAUUUUAGUAAUGUUGUAAUAAUUGCAAGAUUACGAAAUUUAAUUUUGAUUAAUAGAAACAAAAAUCGAAGUCAACUUAAUUUGUUGAGUAAGUGCAAAGUCAUCUUAAUUAUUGUGGAUCCCUAUGAAAUUAAGAAAUUUAUUAUUUGAACUAUAAAAUUAUAAAAUGUAAAAGUAAAUAAAUUUCGUAGUUAAAUGAAAAGGAUAAGCCGUUUGGUAUAAGCCAACCAUGCAAGUCCUAGGAAAAUUCCACGGCUUCUACAUGUCCCUGUAAUAUGACUUUUGCUUUACUUAUAUUUCUUGGAGAAGAGAUCAACUCCUCUAAAAAUUCUUUUAAUCAAACAAAGUACAUUAGAAAAAGUUUGAAACGUGUUCAAAUAUUUUUUUAUCAAUUUCGAAAAUAGUUUUUGACCUUUCAAAAAUCCUAACAAAUGGCCUAUAAUUGAUGAGACAAUAGGAUGGAACCAUUGUCAUUUCAAUCCCCCUUCUUUUCUUUUUUUUUUUCCAUUCCCCAAGCCUAUGAGAAAAGCUCGAUUUACAUGAUCUAUUUGUGGUCUCUUUCAAAAUAUGUCAGCA